Non-coding RNA from Canis lupus familiaris (dog), 83 nucleotides. The record is from Rfam. NCBI's taxonomy places the organism in Eukaryota, Metazoa, Chordata, Mammalia, Carnivora, Canidae.
GCUCGGGUGGCUCAGUGGUUGAGCAUCUGCCUUUGACUCAGGUCUGAUCCCGGGGAUCCUGGGAUCGAGUCCCACAUCGGGCU